Malaya genurostris is the source of this 12655-nucleotide RNA transcript. RefSeq lists it as uncharacterized. The record is from RefSeq and is a predicted model, not a curated record. Lineage: Eukaryota; Metazoa; Arthropoda; Insecta; Diptera; Culicidae. The transcript is spliced from 4 exons.
UCUGGACAGAAAACAACACGAUCCUUAUGACUUCGAAUCAUGGGUAGAAGUCGUUUUUGUAAACAUUCCUUGAUGUAUAUUUAGCUGUUCAUUGAAGCAGUGGUGAUGAAGGGUUUCGAAAUCUUACCGCAGCUAUAAAUUGCUUGCCAGACCAUAGCUUUCUUACCAAAUUUUUCGACUUCAAUCGAUGUCUCGAAAUGGUUUAACACUUUCCCUCCUCGCACCGUAUAAUAUUUUGGUCCCGGCAAGGAUUUGUAAUCGAGUUUCACGUAGAUUUCGUCCCCUAUGAUUAUGCAGAAUUUCCAGCAAGAAUCGUAUAGUACAGCUUUCGAACCCUCGGCCUGAUCGAUGCUUCUUGUUUCGGACUACGUUUUGGUUGUUUCUGCUUCUUAUAGGUUCGAAGAUUCAAACGUUUGUUAGCACGAAGAACAUUUGACUUCGAAGUGCCCACUUUUUGGCCACAUCCCGAACUGAAACCUCCUACUUUUGAUCGAUCGCCUUCAGUAUACGUUUAUCCAACUGAGGGUUAGCAGGACCUUUUUUUCGACCCGUUUUCGGUUUAUCCUCAAAGGUGUUAUCCUUACCGAACUUCCUGAUUGCAUUUCGCACGGCUUUGUUACUUACUCCUUCCAUUUUUGCUAUAGUUUUCAGUGACGUUGUUCUGCUGAAAGUCCACGCAUUUCAAAACAAACUAAUGAAAACGAAUAAACAACUGCACAAGUGGUUAGAGAAGAGUGUAAACAACAGGACGCAGCCAUAAAAAUUGACAGAUUCUUAAUCAUUGCGAAAUAGCAGCGGUUCUGGGACAGUCUUUAUCACCAUCAUUGCAGAAGGACAGCACAAAGAAAACAAAAAUGAAAUUGGUUUUAAUAACAAGAUUAUUAUCCAAAAACUCAUGAGAAGUGUCAAAGCAAAACAAUCCAUUAAAAAACUAAAAAGGAAAGUUCUUGUUGAAACUGCUUGCCAAUUGCUUUGAUGUUUUUCGCAUGUGUUACGAUAUAUCCAUAUAUAAAUUUCUAAACCGAUAUGUAAAAAUGACGAAAACUCUUAGUGGAAAGUGUAUUUAUUCAGAAUUUGUGCGCAUUUGAAGCGAUUGUGCGUAAUAAUGUUUUUACACGGAAUAGUGAAGUGAGUUUCGAAUGUUGCACUAUAAUUGUAUAUGUCAAAUGAUGUUUUCAGUUUUCAGUGAAAGAGUCGCUUUCGUGAAGUUGAAUGAAGAAUACAGCGAUUUAGAAGAAAAAUUUUCAAGAGGAAGUUUACGUUUCGUUCAUGUCUUUUUCUCCAAUACAACAUCGUAUUUAUACCUGCCAAUAUAGGAAAGAUAACCGUGACUGAAUUAUUUUUCGGUAGUAGUGUGCCAUCUAGUGGCUAGUAGUCAUUACGGUGUUAAUGUUUUUUCAGUGGCAGUGCGCCAUAUAAAUGCAAAUUGCAGAAGCCAAUUCAACCAUUUAUGUUGGUUGAAAACAACGUUUUAUUUCUCUAACUCAACUAAAAAAUUAGUUGAAUGGAAACGAAGUGUGCCUUAGCUAGAAAUGACAGCACGUUGAAUUGGUGAAUUCAACUGAAAAAAUAGCCAUUUCAACAAAUAUUUUAUUAUUAUUAAUGGAAUGAGAAUUAAAAAAUCUAAAUUAGCCAAAGUAAGAUUUUUUUUAGUUGUCUCAAAAAAUAACUAACUAAAAUCAGAAAACCAACUAAUUUUUUCGCCAAGAUGCUGAUUUCGGUCUUUCCGUGUAAAUAUUUAAGUCAAUUAUAAAAUAAAUAAUUUUCCACAAAAGACUUUAUAGCCAAAAAUUUGUCUAAUAAUUAUAUAAUUAUUUUUAUUCUUAUGGAAAUCCAUCAACAUGUUCUGAAACACUUCCAAAAAUUUUUUUUGUACGCGCCUGGUACAAGGUGCUUAAGAGACAUAAAUGUUUACUAUCUUUUUUUCCGAAAAGGCUUAACCGAUAUUCAAAUGGACGGUUUUACGAUCCCUAAGCCUAUUAUUUAAUUUUAUCCAGAUUCGGUAGUUGCACUCAAUUUUCUCAGAGAAGGUUUAACCAAUUUUUACAAGCUUACAUUGAGUUACAAAUUUGAUCAGUAUCAAACGAGGAAAACAGGUUGAAAAAAGUAUGAGCGAAUCAAACCGCAGGGUAAUUUUUUAUUGGCAAAACAAUUUCCUCAGAUAGGAGGUUCGAGUCCUGUCUAUGCGGUAACUUUUUCGUGGUUUUCAUUAAAUAGUUGUAUUCGGAUGUCAUUUUUCCAAUCUGUUUUCCUCGUCAGGUACUGAUCAAAUUUAAAAUUAACUCUACGUCUUAACAAGGCUAAAACAAAUCAUUGAAAGUCAAUCUGAUUUGUCCUUCAAUAUAUUGUGUUCAAAAUUUCAAACCACCGUUUGACGGCAAAGCAAAGAAUGAAGAGAGACUUGCGAGACGACGGGUAAUGAACGGUGGCAGAGUGGUUUCCAUACAGAUAUGACUAUAAUUGAAUGCCGUGGCACCCGGACACAGCGAAGCAUGCUCGGUUCUGCUAGUCAAUUAGGCUGUUUCUUUAUGUGUGCACGGUAGAAUCCAAGGUUUUUUUUUUUUUCAGAAAUAGCUGGACCGAUUUUUACAAAGUUUUGUAAAUUACUAUUAAAUUUCAUACGAAUAUGAUUUCAGGCUCAGGAGUUAUAAGUGAAGGAGUAAGAACAUCUUAUGUCAAACGUGUAUUUUAAAACAUAACAAAUUGAUUGAAACUGAAAGAUGAUUUCUCAUAAUUUUCAAAACCGGUAAGUUGAUGACCCGGAAAACUUAUCUUACCAUACAAGUUCUAGGCCUUCGGUUACGGAAAAACCAGAAAUUGUGUUCAAAAAACAAAAUUUAUCGAUUUUAGUUUUUCAGAGGUUGCAAAAUCGAUCUUAGUUUCAAAAUAAAAGGCUCCAUUAUCAAAUAGAAUGCCAUUGAAAUUUGAGCUGUAUCCGAUUUCCAGUGACGAAAUUACAAAACGACAAGCAUUUGAAGUUUCGAACCGUCAUUCAAACUGAAGAUGCAAAGCACGUGAAAACUGGGCUCUUAACAUGUUUCUUCACUUUGCAUGCAAAUGUAAGAUUUGUAGGCCAAACACAAAAACUUGUACACAGAAUACAUAACCUUGCAUUCUUGAUGCUGAGAUAACUGAAAUUAUUGAGUGGAACAUCCACAUUUUGAACUUGUGAAAGUAUUGAGACAAACUCUUGAAGAGUGUUCGCAUCUUAACUUUACAAUCUCUAUAUCGGAAAAUGCUACACCAUGAUAUGUUUAUAAAUAAGCAAAAUAAACAACAAUCUGCAAUUUACUGUUGCAUGUGGCUGGAAACUUGAACCCGCCGUCGGUAAAUUGCUUUUUCAGUUCGACUGGGAAAUAAACGACUAUCGAAAAACUCAAUUUUCUCGCCUCGGCACUGAGUUAGUAUUGCCCCGAGAGACAGAUAGUGAGAAAGCGAGAAGGGGGUUUAACAAAAAAAAAAGAACAUCAUCAACCAGAACCAACACACCCGGGUGCCUCUCGCAUGUAAUAACUACUGUGCUAUCUCCAGCACCGCACGGCUCGAGCAUACAUCAUUACGCACAUUUCCCCGGCACAAUGGAGCCAUAAUUUGCCGCACAUUUGUAGGUCCUUUGAUUUAGAGUCGGCCGGUUGCAACUUCUCCAGUUCCCGAACGCACCACCCACUUUCAGUUUUGACACGCAGAAAAUGUUGUUCAGUGUUUGGUGGAUUUUGAAAUUGCGAUAUCGUAAUUGAAAAAAAAAACCAUUACAAGAACUACGAUUACAUUUACCAAGUUCAAGUGCACUUUUAUACCGUGCAUGAACUAAAUUUUCACUGAAAAUCCUAACUUCGGAUUGAUAUUGCUCACAUAUAUUAUUGCCUUUUCAUAAUUUGCUCUCUAGAAGAGUGUUGUGCUCAACAUAACAAUAUAAUUUCCAAUUCAUUCAACCGGAAACGUUCAAAGCGGCCUGUGCCUCCAGCUUAUGGGGAGAUGCCUACAGGAUGUUUAUGGUCAAAACGAGAGGGGCACCAGCAUCCCCUGAACGUAGUUCGGUAAAGCUGAGGUUCUCUUCCCUCACCACGACACGUUGCUAUAAUCUCAAAACCGCACGCUUCCGGACAUUUGGAAAAGGCAGAGAUUGGUACUGUUACCGAAAACUGGGAAACCUCCUGGGAACCCGUCGGCAUACAGACCAAUCUGCUUGAUCGACACGACAGGGAAGCUCCUGGAGAGAAUCAUCCGGAACAGGCUAGCCCCGUUCAUUGAGGAGGCGGGUGGACUGUCUAACGAACAAUACGGGUUUCGCAAAGGCAGGUCUACGGCAGAUGCCAUAAAAUCGGUGGUAACCACCUCGGAGGUCGCUAUUCAACCCAAGCGGCGUGGAAUUCGUUUCUAGGCGGUAGUAACGCUUGACGUCAAAAACGCCUUCAAUAGUGCUUGUUGGGCGGGUAUCGCUUCGAUUGGGAGUACCGGAAGGGCUGUACAAGAUUCUGGAAAGCUACUUUUAGAACCGGACGCAGCACUUCUAUCACGGUCGAAGGGCCACAGGAAUCCAUCCUGAGCCCGCUUCUGUGGAAUAUAAUGUACGAUAGCGUACUGAGGUUGUGGCUCCUCCGGGCGUCAAGAUAGUCGAGUUCGCGGACGAUAUCACGCUUGAAGUUUACGAAGAAUCCAUCGAAGAAGUCGAACUGAGCGCAUCACACUCGAUCAGCAUAAUGGAGGACUGGUUGUGUAGCAGGAUACUGCAACUAGCGCAUCAUAAAACUGAGAUGAUGGUGGUAAACAACGGAAAGCAAGAGCAAGAGAGCAUCGACACAUGUUGGUGAUUGCAUGAUCCCCUCCAAGAGAUCACUGAAACGAUUGGGUGUGAUACUUGACGACAAGCUCAGUUUCGGCUAGAACGUUGAAUAUGUUUGUAAACAUGCAGCGCUCUCGCGCAUGAUGGCCAACAGUUCGCCGGUACAUUCCAGCAAACGCAGGUUACUGUCAGGAAUGGCAGUUUCGGUUCUCAGGUACGGCAGCCGGUAUAGGCGACGGCACUCCAUGUGGAACACAACGCACAAAUGCUGAAGAGCAAGCACAGACUGAUGUGUCUUCGCGUGAUCAGUGCGUACCGUACGGAGGACGCGGCAUGCUACGGAGGACGCGGCACGUUACGACAUGCGGAGGGACAGGAACGCUCGUAGGACUGCCAACGCAGCCUCCCUACGCGAGUCUCAGAGAAAAUGGGACAGCUCACUUAAGGGCAGGUCUACACAUCGGCUCAUUCCAAGAGACUCCGGAUGGAUCGACAGACUCCAUGACGAAGUAAAUUUGUACCUGCUUUGCGACACAAAGGUAUGGCCUACUGGAUGUAUGUGGCAGAGAAACUACACCAGAGAACCUAGUCCAGAGGAUGUGCCACAGUGAGGAGAAUUGGAACGAAGUGUCGACCGCGACCUCCCAGAUCGCGGGGAGCUUGCAGCGGAAUUGAAGCGCAGAACAACAGGCAGUCGCGACCGCUGGUCACUAAAGAGGAAUCAGCGAAUAAGCUUCGGCUCGGGAGUUUUUCCGUUGUCGGUGAACUCUCCGUCGAUGUAGUCUUAAUCCUUCGCCGGGGAUUAGACAAGUAGAUUGCGACGCAGCCCCGGUAUGGAUCGUCGGGGCGCAAGUGAACCGGAAGCCAUCCUCCAGCCGGAAUCAUUGGAGAGACCCAGGCAUCCUGCCGAUCGAUCCGUUUGCGGGUAUCGGAAGCGACGGUCACGGGAGAAUUUCAAUCGUCGGAGAACUCUUCGCCGGUGUAGGCUAGAUCCUUCGUCGGGGACUAGCCGAAUAGAAGCCACAGCACCGAAGUCUAGUCGUCGGGGCGCCAGUGAACCGGAAGCUAUGCUCCAACCGCAAUCAUUGGAUCACUCGUUCAAGUGUCCAGAUGGCAUGACAUGAAUACUCGGUGUCGGGAGACCUUCAUUCGCCGGGGAUUAGCCGAGUAGAAACCACACUAUCGAAGUCGAGUCGUCGGGGCGCCAGUGAACCAGAUGCCAUGCUCCAACCAAAAUCACAGGAUCGACCUCGGCACUCAUUCGAGUGUCACGUGUGGCGAAGCACAAGAUUCAGUAUUGGGAGAAACUCUUUCGUCGGGGAGCUCUCCGUCGUCGUAGUCUAGAUCCUUUGGCGGGGAUUAGAUAAGAAGAUUGCGACGUAGCUACGGUAUGGAUCGUUGGGGCGCCAGUGAACCGGAAUCACUGGACCGACCCAGGUAUCCUGCCGUUCGAACCGUUUACGUAUAGUUGAUCCAUCGUCGGCUAGAUCUAUCGUCGGGGAUUAGCCGAGUAGUUUGUUUGCAAUGAUUCUGUACACUAAGAAUCGGUUGAAACAGAAUGGCCAAAUUCCACAAAAGAAAUGUAAUGCCAGGACUUUGCUUUUCUUCUACAUUACUUUCAGAAUUUACCCAGAAUUUUUCCUCCACUUCAUCGGAGAUAUGAUCAUCAGUUUGAGAUAGAAUUUCGGAAGUCAGGAUCUUGGUUCUAGGCUUGAACUCUGGAAAUAAAUGAAUCUCGAUAAUAAAUUCUUGACUUGGAACCAAAUUCCGGAACUGAAAUUGAGGUUCAGACCACAAUUAUGUUACAAAAUUCCUGUCCAUACUUAGAAUUCAGGUUCAGAAUUCGAAAACUGAGGAACUUCAGACCGAGAUCCAGAACUAGAAUUCAGAUCCAAAACUAAGUUGCAUAUCGCUGAUUAUAUUGAAGAAAAUUCUAGUUUCUGUGAAACGCUCGCACUUUGAACUUGACAUUCUUCAUUAAAUUCUGCACAGUUACUUUUGUGACUUUCCUGAUGGCAGCUGUUCAGGUUUUUUUUAACUCCUGCAUGUUUUGGGACACUGUACCUUCCUUCCGAAAGUGCCGCUUGACAAUUGCCCAAUACCUUUUAAUUGGCCGAAGAUCCGGGCAGUUCGGUGGGUUGAUGUCCUUUUCCACGAAUUGUACAUUAUUUUGUGACAACCACUGUAGAACGGAGUUGGCGUAGUGGGCUGAAGCCAAAUCCGGCCAGAAAGGGCCCCCUGUGCCCUUCGUGACGAAAAUUGACGACUGCAAACCACAGGUACAAAUUGCUUGCCAGACCAACACCUUCUGCCCAAACUUUUGCAUCGCCACCGUGGUGUCAGCGUCGUCCAGGUCCUGGUACACCGAUUUCGUAUAAUAUUGCAGUCCGGGCAGCGCUCGAGAGUCUUCCUUGCCGUAGGUUUCGUCGUCGAUCAGGAUGCAUCCGUCUUUAUUCUGUAGAAUCCGGUUAUACAGUUUUCGCGCUCUUGUUUUGGCCUGAACUUGCUGUACCAGGGACUUUUUCGGCCCCUUCUGCACAGAAAAAAAUUUUAAAUUUAAACGCCAUGUAUAUAAUUAAACUCGUAAAUAUACAUUUAUGUAAUCAACAAUUGAAUUGAAAUUUAAGCGCAAAAUAAUGUACAUAAUUAGAGCAUCAAAAUACGUGUGAAUUUAUAUUGUUUUUUGCUUAAUUGUACAGCACAUUUAAAUUUUCAAUUGCUAGUUUAAAAACAAUGUUGAGUUCUUGAAUUUCUCAUAAUCGGAACUGUAAUUUUCAACCGACAUGUAAAAUCAAAACAACAUUCAUUGAAAUUUCAUAAACAAAACAAAUGGCUGCCGCGAUAAAUUGCACGUCGACUUUUAUCCAUCUGUUUAUAAUUUGUAGUGUUCUGUGCGGAAAUAAUGUCAAUUGAAAUAAGUUGUAAGUUUUGUGUGACUGUUUUCAAAGAUUUAGAACAUUUUAUUUACCAUAUGCGAGUGCAUAAAUAUCAACGAUAUUUUGAAUGCCCGAUUUCGGAGUGUGCAGUACGUUGCCGAUCUUUCGAGUCUUUUAAAAAACAUCUUAGACAACGACAUGUUGAAAUAAAACUUCAACGUACUUUCCGUUGCUCCGUCUCGUCGUGUAAUUCCGUUGAAGACAGUGUAAAGUUGAUGGCCAAACAUAUGACGAAACAUCUGAAAUCCGGUCAACCCGUGUUUUGUCCGUUUGGUUGCAUAUGCAAAAAACCUUUCGUAACUGUAAACAGUAUGCGAAUUCACAACAUGUACUUCCACCGGAACGGAAACAUCCGAAUAGAUAGUGAUGAAAGUUUAUUGAAACAGACCUCCGUUCCACAGUUGGACUUUCUCCAGUUAAAUGAAUCUUGUUCGUUGAAUGCAUGUUCAGAGUCUCCAAAUCCACUAAACACCUUUUAUAAAACUAACGAGAACAUAUGUAACAUUUUCGGAAACCUAUUUCUCAAACUGUUAUCAAAAAAACAUGUGACAGAAUCCGCAAUACAGGAAGUAGUAGUGGCGUUGGGGGAAGCUGUUUCGGUUCAAACAAAUAGCUUCAAAAAUUUCUGCUUAUCGAUCGGUUACGGAAUCAACGAACAAAAAAAUAACAAUUCACAUCAUUUAGAACGAAAUUUCUGCAAUAUCUUCGAUAUCAUGUUCGGACCUAUGGGACUAUUUCGAUCACCUUACAUGCGAAAAAAGUUUUAUCGCGAGCAUUACAGUUUUGUCUCUUCAAUACCUAUUGCACUUCAAAAAGACAAUGAACAUAAAGACGCUUUCUUCUACUAUGUACCAAUAUUGGAAACACUGACCGCGAUGGUCAAUGAUCCAACAAUUUACAACGCUGUAUUUCGGAAAAAACUCAGUGUCCGGUUACCUGACAGAUUUCGACGACGGUACCAAGUUUAAAACCAGUUCAUUUUUCUCCGAUAAGACAUUAAAUCUUUUUUUAUAUCAAGAUGCUGCUGAGAUGGUUGUUAAUGCUAUUGGCAACGCCACUGGCCGAUAUAAAUUAUUAUGCGUUUACAUGAUAAUUGGAAACAUUGAUUCACAUUUACGAUGUAAAACCGAAAAUGUGCAACUAAUACUUCUUUGCAAAAAUAAGGAUUUUUCUUAUUUCGGUUCGAAUUGCAUAUUUCGACGACUCGUUGAAGAUAUUAAAAUACUGGAAGAAAACGGGAUUGUUGUACAUGGUGGUGGAUUUCCUGAAACUAUACGAGGUUCAAUAUUUACUACAAUGAAUGAUAACUUGGGAGCACAUCAAAUAGGAGGUCUUGUAGAGAAUUUUUCAACAAGCUCUCACUUCUGUAGAACUUGUUAUAUUGAUCACAAGUCGUUUAAAAUUGAUAGCUUGAAUAAGGCAGAAAUUAGGAAUCCUGAAACGCAUAAACAUGACAUUCAGAUGAUCACAAACAAUGCAAGUUGUAUACCUUUCCGAGGAAUAAAAUCAGAAUGUAUAUUUGAUGAAUUGCAACACUUCAAAAUGUUUGAUCUAGGAGCCGCUCCGUGUAUAGCUCACGACUUAUUUGAAGGAUGGAUUAACAAUGAUCUAUUUUUAAUACUGAAACGCAUCUGCAAAGAGAAACAUAUAUCUCCUUUGUACAUUCAAGGUAGAAUGAACGAAGUUUGUCAUAAAUUGAAACUGGACACGAAAAUUGCCAUUGACUUUACUAGAAAAUCCAGAAACAUAAAAGCAAAGGCUUGUGAUAUCUGGCACAUUGUUCAAAUUUUUCCAUUUUUGUUUAUAAAUAAAUCAAUUGAUUAUAACGACCCGAUAAUACAUAUGCUGUUGCUGAUUAAAAACAUCACAGACAUUAUCACUACACCAGUUGUAUCUCAAAAUCAAAUUCACCUGCUACGAUCACUAAUAACGGAAUACAUUGAACUUCGAACUCAUCACUUUGAUACUCCACUUAGACCUAAACAUCAUUUCACCACCCACUAUCCUUGGAUCAUAUCGAGACUUGGACCUCUUAUGUCCUUCUGCACUUUAUUUUGUGAAAGAAAACAUUGUUUUUUUAAGCGAGCUCUACGAAGCACUCUUAAUUUCAAAAACGUCGUGAAGUUCUGUGCGGAGCAACAUCAGUUUUACCAAGCUCUACUAACACAAGAAAAUGCUCGUUUUGAAAGGCAUUUUUUGGUAUCAAAGUUUGUAGAAACGUAUAAAGACCUCCCUGAGGUAAUGCAAUCGGAAUUACGGAAAUUUUGCCUCCUAGACCUAGAGUCACUCUAUGCCGAAAAAGCAUCAUAUUGUGGACACGAUUAUGAGAAAAAUGAUUUCAUAUUCCUCGAACAUGAUGAGUAUGGUGAAAAAUUCUAUGUGGUUCAAAUUCAGCUGUUGAUUUUCAACAAAUACACUGAACAAGUUUUUGUUUUUGGACUAAAACAUUCCGUUCUCCAAUCUCCCGACAAAGGAACUCUGGAAAUCAAUUUAAAUCCACUGCUAGUUGUUGCUAAAAAUAUUAAGGAUUUUGUCGACCGAACUCCUUUGAAAUCGUUUCUUGAAAAUAAAAGGCUUUAUUUAUUCAUUCAGCAUGCGAUUCCUUUGGUUUGAGCACCUGAUAUUAAAAACUUCAAAAAAAAAUACAGAAUGGCGACCAAUAUUAAAAUUUACAAAAUAUGCGACGCGUCUCGGUUCAACAGAAUGGCCCUACCGGCUCUUUCCAGCGUCUCCAGUUUAUUAGAACAAGCAUCAAUUACAUUAGGCAAACAUUUUGAAACUAUAUACAUAGAAGCUGAUGGAUGUAAAAUCAUCUCUGACUUAGCAUUAGCCGCCUUCGAAACUCAGCUGUUAAUGGUAACUGAGGAAGAUGAAGCUUGGAUACCAAACUUUCAGCCACAAACGAAACAACAAUCAGCUUUAGAAAUUUCAGGUAUGUGCAUUUUCGAUGUGAUUAACCCAUCAAAACGUGACUCGCUUUAAUGGGAAAUUUUGGAUCGAACGAAGAUAAUUUGACUCGGUGUACUUGCAUUCGAAAAACGAAAACAAUUGGAUUGCUGAGGUACAUUGGUUCAAAAGCAGCGCAGUUUGCAAACAAAAAAAAACUUAUACUAAUAGGUCGAUUGUUCUGAAAAUAAAUGAUUCCGGUUUUAACAGUUGCUCGUAAUGGACAUCAAGCUCUUAGAAGCAUUCAAAGACCAAAAAGAUCUUCCUUCUAAUUUCAAUUUAAACAACAUAAACGAUGUUCAUUAUUCAAAUAAUGUUUGCGUAGUAAACGUGGCUUUUUCAGUACUUUUCCAAGAUUUUGAUUUUCAUUUGUAAAGUCGAUAACUGAACAGGAAAAAAAUAUAAAAAUAAAUUCACAUCUUUAGUAAUUGCCCUCAACAUCUUGAAGGUAAAUGUUUAGAAAUUUCUUUCCUUUUUGUGAAAUAUUCCAGAAGCUUCUGCGUAAAAUGGUUAAAAAUUGCUUUUCAAUGACAUGCUCCUAAAAAUGAGAUUACUUUGUAACUGAGAUAAUAUUGAGAAGCUUCUUUGUAGUCUUCGUGAUAUAAUUUGGCACAGUUUAAAUAUGAACUCCGAAGUCGUCUGCAACGGUAGAGUUUUUCCUUUGUCGAGACGACAAGAGAGUUUGCAUUGUCUUUGUUUUUCUGUGUGCCUCAUUUGAAUUUCUUCAAUGAAUGAGUCUAGAAAAAAGUGCUGGUGAAAGUACUGUAGAGAUCCUUUUAAACAUUAAUAGCUAAUAUAUAAGCUCCGUUCAUAUUACUUCAUGUUUACUUGUACGACUUCGGAGUAUUAAUACGAACACAUUCGUGCCAUAACUAUCAAAAUAACAUAUUAUUCGGUUAGAUUUUCAAAUAUUUAGACUUACGUCCAUCAACCAGCUUACGAGAGAAGCAGCUCAAAUUUGACUGCCUUCAACAACAGACACAUACUUACACACAUUUUCAGACAACGCCAGAGGCAACAAACAAAGUAUCCGUCAUCUUUGCGGAAAAGUUGAAUCCUUUUCUGACUGCCAGCGGGUAAAACCCCGUGGCACUGAUAAUAUCGAAAUACAUGUGAAAAUAAGUAAGUGCACAAGAAGAUUCGCCUGGAAUGCUGCCUCAAGAGAAGCGCGAUUCCAUGCUGGCGGAAGAAGGCCAACCUCAAGAACGAAGUGCGUGGCUGUGGCAAGCCCUAACGCCUGCUGGUAGAGCUCGGAAAGGGAGAGGAAAACACAAAAUAUAACAGAUAACAUGAGUUAUGUCAGAGAAACAUCAUGCGGAUUUCAUGGAAUAUACCUUGAUGUACAGUUACACAUUAGCCCCCGCUGUAAAGGGAAGAGGGGACGCGAGCGGGCGGAGUGAAGAAGAAUCAGUAAGAUGAUGGAAGAGAAAAAUUUACUAAAUGAACAAAAAAAAAAAGAACCAACAAAUGACGUCGUAAGAGAAAGAGUGCCGGAAAAUGUUGAUCGCACACGCUGAAGUCAAGCUGGUUUGGAUUUUUUUCCCGCCCAGCUUUCCCUACUGUAGCUUCGGGCCAGACGCGGAUAAAGCAUUUCAUUUUUUUUUUUCAUUCAACCAGUGCACAAUUUGGCACAAGCCGGUUCCUAACCAGUCAGCUUGAAACGUGCUGCCAUCGGUCGGAUUGGCGUGACGUAGAACCGGGAAGACCGCGAAGGUGCGUGGGUCGAAUUUCCAUCAAAUUUUGUUGAAGUUUGUUGCUUUGAAUAAAUUUGGUUUUCCAUGAAUUAAUUAUUGAAACGGAAUGAGCGCGUAAUUUUUCGCUACAGAAUGCUAAUUGAGAGUCUCUGAUGCAUGGAACCGAAAUUGGUUAUGGAUAUUUGGGCAAGUAAUCUACCUGUAAUUAACACAAUUUUUCUGGCAGGAAUAAUUUAGUCGAAUGAUAUGGUUUUGACAUUAAACCCUGGAAUUAUUUUCUGUUUGAUUACAUUUAA